ACGUAGGUGGCAAGCGUUGUCCGGAUUUACUGGGCGUAAAGGAUGCGUAGGCGGAUACUUAAGUCAGAUGUGAAAAUCCCGGGCUUAACUUGGGAACUGCAUUUGAAACUGGGUAUCUAGAGUGCGGGAGAGGAAAGUGGAAUUCCUAGUGUAGCGGUGAAAUGCGUAGAGAUUAGGAAGAACACCAGUGGCGAAGGCGACUUUCUGGACCGUAACUGACGCUGAGGCAUGAAAGCGUGGGGAGCAAACA
Molecule: ribosomal RNA, 250 nt
Filed under: uncultured bacterium
Lineage: Bacteria
Description: partial 16S ribosomal RNA
Rfam family: Bacterial small subunit ribosomal RNA
Source: RNAcentral